RNAcentral lists this ribosomal RNA (308 nucleotides) under uncultured bacterium. RNAcentral's name for it is "partial 16S ribosomal RNA". It matches the Rfam family "Bacterial small subunit ribosomal RNA", at positions 505 to 807 of the family's 1533-position model. The record is from RNAcentral.
GAGACAGCAGUCGCCGCGGGAAUACGUAGGGUGCAAGCGUUAAUCGGAAUUACUGGGCGUAAAGCGUGCGCAGGCGGUUUGUUAAGACAGAUGUGAGAUCCCCGGGCUCAACCUGGGAACUGCAUUUGUGACUGGCAAGCUAGAGUCUGGCAGAGGGGGGUGGAAUUCCGCGUGUAGCAGUGAAAUGCGUAGAUAUGCGGAGGAACACCGAUGGCGAAGGCAGCCCCCUGGGCCAACACUGACGCUCAUGCACGAAAGCGUGGGGAGCAAACAGGAUUAGAUACCCCCGUAGUCCCUGUCUCUUAUAC